Molecule: ribosomal RNA, 482 nt
Filed under: uncultured bacterium
Lineage: Bacteria
Description: partial 16S ribosomal RNA
Rfam family: Bacterial small subunit ribosomal RNA
Source: RNAcentral
AUUGAACGCUGGCGGAAUGCUUUACACAUGCAAGUCGAACGGCAGCACGGGGGCAGCCCUGGUGGCGAGUGGCGAACGGGUGAGUAAUACAUCGGAACGUGCCCGGUCGUGGGGGAUAACGUAGCGAAAGUUACGCUAAUACCGCAUACGAUCUGAGGAUGAAAGCGGGGGACCUUCGGGCCUCGCGCGAUCGGAGCGGCCGAUGUCAGAUUAGGUAGUUGGUGGGGUAAAGGCCUACCAAGCCGACGAUCUGUAGCUGGUCUGAGAGGACGACCAGCCACACUGGGACUGAGACACGGCCCAGACUCCUACGGGAGGCAGCAGUGGGGAAUUUUGGACAAUGGGCGCAAGCCUGAUCCAGCCAUUCCGCGUGCAGGACGAAGGCCUUCGGGUUGUAAACUGCUUUUGUACGGAACGAAAAGGCUCUGGCUAAUACCUGGCUCAUGACGGUACCGUAAGAAUAAGCACCGGCUAACUACGUG